GGAGAAUCGGAAUUUCCAGCUUGAUUCCCUUCACGUCCAUGCAAUCAUAAAGCCCAUUUGUGCGGUAUCUUGCCAUGAAUAACUAUGAUAGCUUCAUGUGGACGGUUGACACUCCACCCAGUAUGUUACAAGGCUAAAGGAUCUUGUUUGGUUGGGGAGAAAGUGUAGGGAAAUGGAAGGAACCAAAAUCUUUGAACACUGCAUGGUCUCAAAUUUUGGGGUUCUUCAAGAAUAAGAUAACUUGUCUGGUUCUGUUUUUUCUUGGUUUUGUAUGGAACCAAAUAGAGGAGUGAGAAAAUUGCUGUUCUCAGUAA
Molecule: long non-coding RNA, 314 nt
Organism: Vitis riparia (riverbank grape)
Lineage: Eukaryota; Viridiplantae; Streptophyta; Magnoliopsida; Vitales; Vitaceae
Exons: 2
Source: RefSeq, a predicted model, not a curated record